UACAGAGGGUGCGAGCGUUAAUCGGAAUUAUUGGGCGUAAAGGGCGCGUAGGCGGAUUGAUAAGUGGUAGGUGAAAUACCCGGGCUUAACCUGGGGAGGUCCUAUCAGACUGUCAAUCUAGAGUAUGGUAGAGGAAGGUGGAAUUCCCGGUGUAGCGGUGAAAUGCGUAGAUAUCGGGAAGAACAUCGAUGGCGAAGGCAGCCUUCUGGGCCAUAACUGACGCUGAGGCGCGAAAGCGUGGGGAGCGAAC
This 250-nucleotide ribosomal RNA is filed under the name uncultured bacterium. RNAcentral's name for it is "partial 16S ribosomal RNA". It matches the Rfam family "Bacterial small subunit ribosomal RNA", at positions 524 to 773 of the family's 1533-position model. The record is from RNAcentral.